This 418-nucleotide unclassified non-coding RNA is filed under the name Hevea brasiliensis (rubber tree). Lineage: Eukaryota; Viridiplantae; Streptophyta; Magnoliopsida; Malpighiales; Euphorbiaceae. The record is from RNAcentral.
GAAACAAAGAAGAAAUGUGGUGAACUAGAUUUUAUAAUGUAAAAUAAUUAGCCAAUUGUGCUCAUGAAAUGUACUAGCAUCGGCAUAUGUGGAUAUUGUCCCAACAAAAAGUGGAUAUACAAAUAAAUUCCAUGGCUAAUGAAGACAGACAAAAGAAAUAUAAGAAAUGGGAAGUUUCAAAGGGUAGUGAAGAAAAGAAGGGUUCAGGAGUGCAGCAGAAAAGCAAGUGACAGAAGUUAACAACAACUACUACAACAACAACUAUUACUACUAAUCCUUUAAGUGACACAAGUUAAAUUUCAGAAUAAUAGCUACGUCAUGUUUUGCAUAGCAUUUAAUUUGUAUUUGGUUUGGUGCAAAAUACAAGUAUAUACCUGACAGGCUAAAAAAACAGUUAAAAGUUAAAAAGUUCGAUGAG